Molecule: ribosomal RNA, 253 nt
Filed under: uncultured bacterium
Lineage: Bacteria
Description: partial 16S ribosomal RNA
Rfam family: Bacterial small subunit ribosomal RNA
Source: RNAcentral
UACGAAGGGGGCUAGCGUUGCUCGGAAUCACUGGGCGUAAAGGGUGCGUAGGCGGGUCUUUAAGUCCGGGGUGAAAUCCUGGAGCUCAACUCCGGAACUGCCUUUGAUACUGAGGAUCUUGAGUUCGGGAGAGGUGAGUGGAACUGCGAGUGUAGAGGUGAAAUUCGUAGAUAUUCGCAAGAACACCAGUGGCGAAGGCGGCUCACUGGCCCGAUACUGACGCUGAGGCACGAAAGCGUGGGGAGCAAACAGG